CUCUUUUCCUGUGGAGCGGUGGCGGCGGCGGUAUGAAGGAGAAGCUUUCAGUGGUGUCCAAUAUGUUGUACAGAAGCAUUAAGGAUGGCGUAUCAACAGUUUUUAAUAAUGGAAAAAAGUUGAGCAUUGUGAUGAAAGAUGUCCUGGCAACUGUACUACAACAGAUAGAGGGAUGCUUGAAGGCUGCUUCUUUGAAGGAAAAUGGUCACAACUGUACAAACAAAUGCUUUAAUUUGUUCAGUGAGUUGGAACGUUUUUGUCAGUGCUGCUUGACAAAUGUGGAUGAUCUGUAACUGGAAGAAAGUGUAACACCUGAAGAGAUGUUCUCGCUUGGAGUGGGACCAUGCUUUUAAAAUCCUGCUGAAACAGUUGUUGAAAUUGUUUAGCAGAUACCGUUAUCAAAAACUGCACGUGAACCAAAAUUACUGUCUCUGCAUACUUAAAAUAAUGCUUCUCUCAAAACAUCAAACUGCCCCCUUUGGGAAGGAUAACAGUGGCAGUAGGGAAAUGAGUGGUGAGCUUCAAUAUAUGAAAAAGAAACAGACUAUUGGCCCUUAGAAAAUGUAAGGGUAUGCAGACUUUGAUACUGAGCAUCUGUAAUAACUCAAAACAAUGGAAGUUGCAGGUAGGCCAUGCAGCAUUGAUACAUAAAUUCAAACUACUGAGUGCUCCUUGAUGAUGUCAUGUGGGAGAUUGAAGGAGGUAGAUGAGGUGGUGUGGAAGCAUCAACAUGAAGCACCUGUAAAAAGAAACGCUUGAAAUUUCAGGUGGCGUGAGGAAGUUGUGGUUACAGAAAAAGCAUAGACUAAAGCUUUCAUUUUCUUCUGCAUCUAGAUGGGGAGAGAAGGAAAAGGGAGUUUUCAUGAGCUGCCAAUUUAGCAUGGAAAGACCAGUAUCGGAACUGGAACUGUGCCCACUGAAGAAGACAUUGGCAGUGUUAUCUGUUCCCAGUGUGGGAGGAAAAGGAAUAGAAACAUUGGAAGUUUUGCUUGCCAGCAGUCACUAACCACACAGUAACAUCUUAACAUUGUAUUUGUUGUAUUAAGCAGAUCAUCUCUCUUCCACUGAGGAAGAGAGGGAUUGUAAAUUGGUUUUCUGAGUAAGUUGCCUUUAAAGACAAAUUAUGCACGGAAGAUGCAAUCCACCUUAAGGUGUGGCUCUUGUACUGCCUUCUCAGGAAUGCUUUAUAAAGGAGGGAAUGUGACAACUGCGUGGUAGCCAAUGAUCAGUAGUGCUGUGGUUACUGAAUGAUUUUGGAAUGUACCGAAAUAAGGAAACAGCCCUGUAGUCUGCAGCCAAAAAUGACAGCAUUGGAUGCUAGCAGUUAACUUUCUCUAGGGAUCUGAAAGAACUUAAUGAAAUGCACUUAUUUCUAAACACCAAAUACUUGAAAGGCCCAUUUUCCUACCAGUGCAGCACCGCAGAAGUGCAGAACACUAAGUAGCAGCAUCUGAAGCAUUGGGAAGAUCAGAAAUAAAGUGCCUGACUACAAAGCCAUACAGUAAUGAUGUGACUGAACUCCAGGAGUGACUUGGCUUACUGCAUAACCUCUGCUUUGGUUUUUCAGUAAUAACCAGCUGCUUUGGCUGGUCAGAGGCUGCUUCUCAGUGAGUUAACUAUGUAAAUCAGUCUAUUGAAUGUAUCAUCAGAAGCUGCAGAAUUUUACUACAGAAAACCUUCCCUUGGUGGCUUUAAUCAGGAUUUAUUACAUGUUAAUGUUGCUGAGAAGGGUAGGUAUUUGCUAUGUUUUGUACAUGCUCUUUCUUGAAUAAAGACGAGGAUGUGGAAAACUUAA
Gallus gallus (chicken) is the source of this 1795-nucleotide long non-coding RNA. RefSeq lists it as uncharacterized. Lineage: Eukaryota; Metazoa; Chordata; Aves; Galliformes; Phasianidae. The transcript has 6 exons. The record is from RefSeq and is a predicted model, not a curated record.